AUUGAACGCUGGCGGCAUGCCUUACACAUGCAAGUCGAGCGGCAGCGCGGGGGCAACCCUGGCGGCGAGCGGCGAACGGGUGAGUAAUACAUCGGAACGUGUCCUGUCGUGGGGGAUAACCAGUCGAAAGACUGGCUAAUACCGCAUGAGAUCGAAAGAUGAAAGCGGGGGACCGCAAGGCCUCGCGCGAUUGGAGCGGCCGAUGUCGGAUUAGCUAGUUGGCGGGGUAAAAGCCCACCAAGGCGACGAUCCGUAGCUGGUUUGAGAGAACGACCAGCCACACUGGGACUGAGACACGGCCCAGACUCCUACGGGAGGCAGCAGUGGGGAAUUUUGGACAAUGGGGGCAACCCUGAUCCAGCCAUGCCGCGUGUGUGAAGAAGGCCUUCGGGUUGUAAAGCACUUUCGGCCGGAACGAAAUCGCGCGGAUUAAUAACCUGCGUGGAUGACGGUACCGGAAGAAGAAGCACCGGCUAACUACGUGCCAGCAGCCGCCGUAA
RNAcentral lists this ribosomal RNA (500 nucleotides) under uncultured bacterium. Its description in RNAcentral is "partial 16S ribosomal RNA". It matches the Rfam family "Bacterial small subunit ribosomal RNA", at positions 29 to 523 of the family's 1533-position model. The record is from RNAcentral.